Molecule: ribosomal RNA, 451 nt
Filed under: uncultured bacterium
Lineage: Bacteria
Description: partial 16S ribosomal RNA
Rfam family: Bacterial small subunit ribosomal RNA
Source: RNAcentral
GUGGGGAAUUUUGCGCAAUGGGGGAAACCCUGACGCAGCAACGCCGCGUGAGUGAUGAAGGCCUUCGGGUCGUAAAGCUCUGUCAGAGGGGAAGAAGUGUGAGGUGGCUAAUAUCCAUUUCACUUGACGGUACCUUCAAAGGAAGCACCGGCUAACUCCGUGCCAGCAGCCGCGGUAAUACGGAGGGUGCGAGCGUUGUUCGGAAUUAUUGGGCGUAAAGCGCGUGUAGGCGGUUUUUUAAGUCUGAUGUGAAAGCCCUGGGCUCAACCCGGGAAGUGCAUUGGAAACUGGGAGACUUGAAUACGGGAGAGGGCAGUGGAAUUCCUGGUGUAGGAGUGAAAUCCGUAGAUAUCAGGAGGAACACCGGUGGCGAAGGCGGCUGCCUGGACCGAUAUUGACGCUGAGACGCGAAAGCGUGGGGAGCAAACAGGAUUAGAUACCCUAGUAGUCC